GCUAGUUGGUGGGGUAACGGCUCACCAAGGCGACGAUCUGUAGCGGGUCUUAGAGGAUGAUCCGCCACACUGGAACUGAGACACGGUCCAGACUCCUACGGGAGGCAGCAGUGGGGAAUUUUGGACAAUGGGCGCAAGCCUGAUCCAGCCAUGCCGCGUGAGUGAAGAAGGCCUUCGGGUUGUAAAGCUCUUUCGGCCGGGAAAAAAUCGCUUGGGUUAAUACCCUGAGUGGAUGAUGGUACCGGAAUAAGAAGCACCGGCUAACUACGUGCCAGCAGCCGCGGUAAUACGUAGGGUGCGAGCGUUAAUCGGAAUUACUGGGCGUAAAGCGUGCGCAGGCGGUUUUGUAAGACAGGCGUGAAAUCCCCGGGCUCAACCUGGGAACUGCGUUUGUGACUGCAAGGCUAGAGUAUGGCAGAGGGGGGUGGAAUUCCACGUGUAGCAGUGAAAUGCGUAGAGAUGUGGAGGAACACCAAUGGCGAAGGCAGCCCCCUGGGCCAAUACUGACGCUCAUGCACGAAAGCGUGGGGAGCAAACAGGAUUAGAUACCCUGGUAGUCCACGCCCUAAACGAUGUCAACUAGGUGUUGGGUGGGUAAAACCAUUUGGUACCGUAGCUAACGCGUGAAGUUGACCGCCUGGGGAGUACGGCCGCAAGGUUAAAACUCAAAGGAAUUGACGGGGACCCGCACAAGCGGUGGAUGAUGUGGAUUAAUUCGAUGCAACGCGAAAAACCUUACCUACCCUUGACAUGCCAGGAACUUGCCAGAGAUGGCUUGGUGCCCGAAAGGGAGCCUGGACACAGGUGCUGCAUGGCUGUCGUCAGCUCGUGUCGUGAGAUGUUGGGUUAAGUCCCGCAACGAGCGCAACCCUUGUCGUUAAUUGCCAUCAUUUAGUUGGGCACUUUAACGAGACUGCCGGUGACAAACCGGAGGAAGGUGGGGAUGACGUCAAGUCCUCAUGGCCCUUAUGGGUAGGGCUUCACACGUCAUACAAUGGUCGGUACAAAGGGUUGCCAAGCCGCGAGGCGGAGCCAAUCCCAGAAAGCCGAUCGUAGUCCGGAUCGCAGGCUGCAACUCGCCUGCGUGAAGUCGGAAUCGCUAGUAAUCGUGGAUCAGCAUGUCACGGUGAAUACGUUCCCGGGUCUUGUACACACCGCCCGUCACACCAUGGGAGCGGGUUCCGCCAGAAGUAGGUAGCCUAACCGCAAGGAGGGCGCUUACCACGGCGGGGUUCGUGACUGGGGUGAAGUCGUAACAAGGUA
RNAcentral lists this ribosomal RNA (1263 nucleotides) under metagenome. RNAcentral's name for it is "bacterial SSU rRNA". It matches the Rfam family "Bacterial small subunit ribosomal RNA", at positions 244 to 1498 of the family's 1533-position model. The record is from RNAcentral.